Molecule: ribosomal RNA, 543 nt
Filed under: uncultured bacterium
Lineage: Bacteria
Description: bacterial SSU rRNA
Rfam family: Bacterial small subunit ribosomal RNA
Source: RNAcentral
AAUAGAUACCCUGGUAGUCCACGCCGUAAACGAUGAGUGCUAAGUGUUAGGGGGUUUCCGCCCCUUAGUGCUGCAGCUAACGCAUUAAGCACUCCGCCUGGGGAGUACGACCGCAAGGUUGAAACUCAAAGGAAUUGACGGGGACCCGCACAAGCGGUGGAGCAUGUGGUUUAAUUCGGAGCAACGCGAAGAACCUUACCAAAUCUUGACAUCCUCUGACCCCUCUAGAGAUAGAGUUUUCCCCUUCGGGGGACAGAGUGACAGGUGGUGCAUGGUUGUCGUCAGCUCGUGUCGUGAGAUGUUGGGUUAAGUCCCGCAACGAGCGCAACCCUUAAGCUUAGUUGCCAUCAUUAAGUUGGGCACUCCAAGUUGACUGCCGGUGACAAACCGGAGGAAGGUGGGGAUGACGUCAAAUCAUCAUGCCCCUUAUGAUUUGGGCUACACACGUGCUACAAUGGACAAUACAAAGGGCAGCGAAACCGCGAGGUCAAGCAAAUCCCAUAAAGUUGUUCUCAGUUCGGAUUGUAGUCUGCAACUCGACUA